GGAACACGAAACUAAACCUUUUGGAUGC
Molecule: small RNA, 28 nt
Filed under: Bombyx mori (domestic silkworm)
Lineage: Eukaryota; Metazoa; Arthropoda; Insecta; Lepidoptera; Bombycidae
Description: ovarian small RNA-2782
Source: RNAcentral